Chloropicon primus is the source of this 71-nucleotide non-coding RNA. Lineage: Eukaryota; Viridiplantae; Chlorophyta; Chloropicophyceae; Chloropicales; Chloropicaceae. The record is from the annotation of a GenBank genome assembly.
AUCCGUGUGGUAUAGUGGUAGCACAGUUCCCUGCCACGGAACAGACUCGGGUUCGAUUCCCGACACGGAUA